AAUGGGGGGAACCCUGACCGAGCAACGCCGCGUGAGUGAAGAAGGUUUUCGGAUCGUAAAGCUCUGUUGUAAGAGAAGAACGUGUGUGAGAGUGGAAAAUUCACACAGUGACGGUAACUUACCAGAAAGGGACGGCUAACUACGUGCCAGCAGCCGCGGUAAUACGUAGGUCCCGAGCGUUGUCCGGAUUUAUUGGGCGUAAAGCGAGCGCAGGUGGUUGUAUAAGUCUGAAGUAAAAGGCAGUGGCUCAACCAUUGUGUGCUUUGGAAACUGUACAACUUGAGUGCAGAAGGGGAGAGUGGAAUUCCAUGUGUAGCGGUGAAAUGCGUAGAUAUAUGGAGGAACACCGGUGGCGAAAGCGGCUCUCUGGUCUGUAACUGACACUGAGGCUCGAAAGCGUGGGGAGCAAA
This 410-nucleotide ribosomal RNA is filed under the name uncultured bacterium. RNAcentral describes it as "bacterial SSU rRNA". It matches the Rfam family "Bacterial small subunit ribosomal RNA", at positions 370 to 772 of the family's 1533-position model. The record is from RNAcentral.